AACUCAGCUGAAUUCCCCAGGAUGGGUCACCACGUGGCACAGCUGGCUCUGUUCGUCGGUGACCCAGACGAGGACAUCAGCCGGCAGGCCAGGGAGGGGGUUUACCGGCUCUACCAGCUCCUGCUGCGCCAGAGGGACCUGAACAUCCAUGAGGUCGAAGACCUUUGGUGCUGGGACUGGCACCAGGACAGCAGGCUCCUCGGCUAUAAGAACACCGCCAAGGUGGGGGAGGUAAGGACACUCUGCCAGGGCAUGGCACAGCUCUGCAGGGCAGGUGGCUGCCUCCUGGAGCCAUGCGACGGAGUUGCCGUUCUAGGCCAGGAUUUGGAGCCUGGUUCGGGGCAAUCUGCUGAAGCCUCACAUCUGGUUGGUUUCAGGUUUUUGCCAAAUUUUUCUCAGAGGGGCAGAGAAGAUUCUUCCUGCAGACAGCAGUGCUGGCCAUGCACGACCCCCUGCUGCGUGUCAGCCAGGCUGGGCUGCUCCUUACUUACUCCCUCCUGGGGCAAGCCGAGCAGCUGAUGGGGAGCAAGCAGGAGGUCGUCACGGCCAACAUAAUGAACCAACUUCACAUCAUCCGGCACUUGCGCCAAGUGCCGGAGGCGCUGCAGGAAUUCUGCCUCCAAGGCCACCAGCAACUCCUGCUCCCUCUAAACGGGGAGUGUAGUGAGACUGAGUGGCCUCCCUCCGAGCAGGAGAGCAAGGGCCCCUCUACACGCCCCUUGGAGGGCAGAGCCUAUAUCGCCCCA
This is a long non-coding RNA of Trachemys scripta elegans, 746 nucleotides long. RefSeq lists it as uncharacterized. Lineage: Eukaryota; Metazoa; Chordata; Testudines; Emydidae. The record is from RefSeq and is a predicted model, not a curated record. The transcript has 3 exons.